This 72-nucleotide transfer RNA is filed under the name Dryococelus australis. RNAcentral describes it as "tRNA-OTHER". It matches the Rfam family "tRNA". From Rfam's summary of the family: Transfer RNA (tRNA) molecules are approximately 80 nucleotides in length. Their secondary structure includes four short double-helical elements and three loops (D, anti-codon, and T loops). Further hydrogen bonds mediate the characteristic L-shaped molecular structure. tRNAs have two regions of fundamental functional importance: the anti-codon, which is responsible for specific mRNA codon recognition, and the 3' end, to which the tRNAs corresponding amino acid is attached (by aminoacyl-tRNA synthetases). tRNAs cope with the degeneracy of the genetic code in two manners: having more than one tRNA (with a specific anti-codon) for a particular amino acid; and 'wobble' base-pairing, i.e. permitting non-standard base-pairing at the 3rd anti-codon position. The record is from RNAcentral. Lineage: Eukaryota; Metazoa; Arthropoda; Insecta; Phasmatodea; Phasmatidae.
GGGGGUGUAGCUCAGAGGUAGAGCGCCUGCUUCGCAUGCAGGAAGCCCUGGGUUCGAAUCCCAGUACCUCCA